CCGAGUUUACAACUCCCAAACCCAUGUGAACAUACCUUACAGUUGCUUCGGCGGAGCCGCCCCGGCGCCCGGAACCCAGUUUCGCGGCCCGGACCAAGGCGCCCGCCGGAGGCCACAAACUCUUCUGUUUUUACAGUAUCUUCUGAGUGUGCCGCAAGGCAAAAACAAAUGAAUCAAAACUUUCAACAACGGAUCUCUUGGUUCUGGCAUCGAUGAAGAACGCAGCGAAAUGCGAUAAGUAAUGUGAAUUGCAGAAUUCAGUGAAUCAUCGAAUCUUUGAACGCACAUUGCGCCCGCCAGAAUUCUGGCGGGCAUGCCUGUUCGAGCGUCAUUUCAACCCUCGGUCUCCCUCCGGGAGAGACCGGCGUUGGGGACCGGCACUUACCCCGCCGGCCCCGAAAUGAAGUGGCGGCCCGUCCGCGGCGACCUCUGCGUAGUAACUCCACUCGCACCGGGACCCGGGCGCGGCCACGCCGUAAAACCCCCAACUUCCGAAU
This 497-nucleotide unclassified non-coding RNA is filed under the name Parengyodontium album. RNAcentral's name for it is "partial contains ITS1, 5.8S rRNA and ITS2". The stretch from base 178 to 331 matches the Rfam family "5.8S ribosomal RNA". Lineage: Eukaryota; Fungi; Ascomycota; Sordariomycetes; Hypocreales; Cordycipitaceae. The record is from RNAcentral.